CGAAGGGUGCAAGCGUUAAUCGGAAUUACUGGGCGUAAAGCGCGCGUAGGUGGUUCGUUAAGUUAGGAGUGAAAGCCCCGGGCUCAACCUGGGAAUUGCUUCUAAAACUGGCGAGCUAGAGUAUGGUAGAGGGUGGUGGAAUUUCCUGUGUAGCGGUGAAAUGCGUAGAUAUUAGGAGGAACACCAGUGGCGAAGGCGGCUUUCUGGACUGUAACUGACACUGAGGCACGAAAGCGUGGGGAGCAAACAGGAUUAGAUACCCUGGUAGUCCCUGAG
RNAcentral lists this ribosomal RNA (276 nucleotides) under uncultured prokaryote. RNAcentral's name for it is "partial 16S ribosomal RNA". It matches the Rfam family "Bacterial small subunit ribosomal RNA", at positions 526 to 801 of the family's 1533-position model. The record is from RNAcentral.